UCUCGCCUUCACAAUAUGUAUUUUUACUAGGUUGUGGAACAAUAUUAGUGGUUUCAUUAAGCACCUAUUCAUUACCAUCCAUUUUUACACCUUCAAAUUUGGUUUCUUGUGAGUUUACACCAUCAGAUUCGGUCUCUUAUGAAUUUACACCAUCAUCGCCUUGCACCUUCAGUCCCGUCGCCGCCGCCCUACCCCGCCGCCCACGCCACCAGAGUACACCUUCAGUCCUGUCGCCACCGCCCACGCCCACGCCACCGGAGUACGUUUCAGUUUGGUACUGUUUUGAACACCAAGGAUGCUGCUGAAAAUGCCAAAAAUGUUGGAGCAAAGUUCAUCAUGAGUCCGAAUGUAAACAUAGAUGGUGUGCAUUGUGACCAAGUCAUGUGUUUUUCUUGUUGGGACUCAGCAGUAAUGUUUUACAAUAGUAAAGGCAUACUUCUGUUUAGUUUUAGUUUUUUUAAAUGUAAAUCAUUUGCAGGGCAUUCUGAAUGAGAACAACGAUGACAA
Helianthus annuus (common sunflower) is the source of this 507-nucleotide long non-coding RNA. RefSeq lists it as uncharacterized. Lineage: Eukaryota; Viridiplantae; Streptophyta; Magnoliopsida; Asterales; Asteraceae. The transcript has 2 exons. The record is from RefSeq and is a predicted model, not a curated record.